RNAcentral lists this transfer RNA (76 nucleotides) under Desulfovibrio litoralis DSM 11393. RNAcentral's name for it is "tRNA_Lys_CTT". It matches the Rfam family "tRNA". From Rfam's summary of the family: Transfer RNA (tRNA) molecules are approximately 80 nucleotides in length. Their secondary structure includes four short double-helical elements and three loops (D, anti-codon, and T loops). Lineage: Bacteria; Pseudomonadati; Thermodesulfobacteriota; Desulfovibrionia; Desulfovibrionales; Desulfovibrionaceae. The record is from RNAcentral.
GGGCCAUUAGCUCAAUAGGUAGAGCAGUUGACUCUUAAUCAAUUGGUUCGGUGUUCGAUUCACCGAUGGCCCACCA